This 1346-nucleotide ribosomal RNA is filed under the name uncultured bacterium. RNAcentral's name for it is "partial 16S ribosomal RNA". It matches the Rfam family "Bacterial small subunit ribosomal RNA", at positions 28 to 1381 of the family's 1533-position model. The record is from RNAcentral.
GACGAACGCUGUCGGCGUGCUUAACACAUGCAAGUCGAACGGAAAGGCCCUGCUUUUGUGGGGUGCUCGAGUGGCGAACGGGUGAGUAACACGUGAGUAACCUGCCCUUGACUUUGGGAUAACUUCAGGAAACUGGGGCUAAUACCGGAUAGGAGCUCCUGCUGCAUGGUGGGGGUUGGAAAGUUUCGGCGGUUGGGGAUGGACUCGCGGCUUAUCAGCUUGUUGGUGGGGUAGUGGCUUACCAAGGCUUUGACGGGUAGCCGGCCUGAGAGGGUGACCGGCCACAUUGGGACUGAGAUACGGCCCAGACUCCUACGGGAGGCAGCAGUGGGGAAUAUUGCACAAUGGGCGGAAGCCUGAUGCAGCAACGCCGCGUGCGGGAUGACGGCCUUCGGGUUGUAAACCGCUUUCGCCUGUGACGAAGCGUGAGUGACGGUAAUGGGUAAAGAAGCACCGGCUAACUACGUGCCAGCAGCCGCGGUGAUACGUAGGGUGCGAGCGUUGUCCGGAUUUAUUGGGCGUAAAGGGCUCGUAGGUGGUUGAUCGCGUCGGAAGUGUAAUCUUGGGGCUUAACCCUGAGCGUGCUUUCGAUACGGGUUGACUUGAGGAAGGUAGGGGAGAAUGGAAUUCCUGGUGGAGCGGUGGAAUGCGCAGAUAUCAGGAGGAACACCAGUGGCGAAGGCGGUUCUCUGGGCCUUUCCUGACGUUGAGGAGCGAAAGCGUGGGGAGCGAACAGGCUUAGAUACCCUGGUAGUCCACGCUGUAAACGGUGGGUACUAGGUGUGGGGUCCAUUCCACGGGUUCCGUGCCGUAGCUAACGCUUUAAGUACCCCGCCUGGGGAGUACGGCCGCAAGGCUAAAACUCAAAGGAAUUGACGGGGCCCCGCACAAGCGGCGGAGCAUGCGGAUUAAUUCGAUGCAACGCGUAGAACCUUACCUGGGUUUGACAUGGAUCGGGAGUGCUCAGAGAUGGGUGUGCCUCUUUUGGGGUCGGUUCACAGGUGGUGCAUGGCUGUCGUCAGCUCGUGUCGUGAGAUGUUGGGUUAAGUCCCGCAACGAGCGCAACCCUUGUUCACUGUUGCCAGCACGUUAUGGUGGGGACUCAGUGGAGACCGCCGGGGUCAACUCGGAGGAAGGUGGGGAUGACGUCAAGUCAUCAUGCCCCUUAUGUCCAGGGCUUCACGCAUGCUACAAUGGCUGGUACAGAGAGUGGCGAGCCUGUGAGGGUGAGCGAAUCUCGGAAAGUCGGUCUCAGUUCGGAUUGGGGUCUGCAACUCGACCUCAUGAAGUCGGAGUCGCUAGUAAUCGCAGAUCAGCAACGCUGCGGUGAAUACGUUCCCGGGGCC